UAUCUCUCUCAUCAACCCAUUUACAGGCCGCUAUCAUCUUAACGGAGCUCUCAUUGUACCUCUGCAUAUAACAAGUUAAUUGAUGAAAUGGAUAAUGAUAUCUUGAAGACUCAAGCACGUUCUCAGCCAUUUCGAAGCUUAGAGUUUGAUAUGAAAAUGGAUGAUCAAGAUGCAAACCAACAAGUAGAUGAAUAUGAAGCAAGACAAGAUGUACUGGCCAGUACAAAUGAUGAGUUAGAUGAAGAACCAAAACCAGGAAUGGAGUUUAUUUUUGAUGAUAAUGCAUACGAGUUUUACAAUAGGUAUGCUAGGAAGAAUGGUUUUAGUACUCGAAAAUCAUGGAUUAAAAAAAUCCGAUGAUGGUGUCAUAGUUAAGAGGCAUUUUUGUUGUUCCAAAGAAGGUCGAAGACGUAAAAGGAGACAUAUUGAUCAGCCGAAGUUUAUCCGUCCAAUUACAAGAACUCAAUGUCUAGCAAGCAUGACUAUUAAACUUCAAGUAAAUGGGAAAUAUCGUGUGACUAAGUUUGUGACGGAGCAUAACCAUGAAGUUGUUACACCAUCAGAGGUGCACGUAUUUAAGGUCACAAAGAGGCUUGACCGAUGAACAGAUAAUUGAAGUAGAUAUAGCAGAUGCUUCAGGAAUAACACUCAAAACAGCUGGAGAAUUGAUGAGUAGACGAGCUGGAGGUCGGGAGAAUUUAGGUUUUACACCUAUCGAUCACAAAAAUUACUUACGGAGAAAGCGAAUGAAAGCAAUAGAAAAAUGUGAUGCAAGAGCUGUUCUAUAAUACUUUCAAAAAAUGUAAGUAGAUAAUCCAUCUUUCUUUUAUGCAAUACAAGUAGAUGAAGAUGAUCAAAUCACUAAUAUGUUUUAGACAGAUACGAAGUCAAUAAUGAAUUAUAAUAUUUUUGGGGA
Magnolia sinica is the source of this 916-nucleotide long non-coding RNA. RefSeq lists it as uncharacterized. The transcript has 2 exons. The record is from RefSeq and is a predicted model, not a curated record. Lineage: Eukaryota; Viridiplantae; Streptophyta; Magnoliopsida; Magnoliales; Magnoliaceae.